UACGUAGGGGGCAAGCGUUAUCCGGAUUUACUGGGUGUAAAGGGAGCGUAGACGGCAGCGCAAGUCUGGAGUGAAAGCCCGGGGCCCAACCCCGGGACUGCUCUGGAAACUGCGUCGCUGGAGUACGGGAGGGGCAGGCGGAAUUCCUGGUGUAGCGGUGAAAUGCGUAGAUAUCACGCAGAACUCCGAUCGCGAAGGCAGCCUACCGGCGCGCAACUGACGCUCAUGCACGAAAGCGUGGGUAUCGAACAGG
Molecule: ribosomal RNA, 253 nt
Filed under: uncultured Eubacteriales bacterium
Lineage: Bacteria; Bacillati; Bacillota; Clostridia; Eubacteriales
Description: uncultured Clostridiales bacterium partial 16S ribosomal RNA
Rfam family: Bacterial small subunit ribosomal RNA
Source: RNAcentral